GUUCCCUACGGGACGCAGCAGUGGGGGAUAUUGCACAAUGGGGGGAACCCUGAUGCAGCGACGCCGCGUGAGUGAAGAAGUAUUUCGGUAUGUAAAGCUCUGUCAGCAGGGAAGAAGAAAGACGGUACCUGACCAAGAAGCCCCGGCUAACUACGUGCCAGCAGCCGCGGUAAUACGUAGGGGGCAAUCGUUAUCCGGAUUUACUGGGUGUAAAGGGAGCGUAGACGGCAGGGCAAGUCUGGAGUGAAAGGCAGGGGCCUAACACCUGGACUGCUCUGGAAACUGUCCGGCU
This 292-nucleotide ribosomal RNA is filed under the name uncultured bacterium. RNAcentral describes it as "partial 16S ribosomal RNA". It matches the Rfam family "Bacterial small subunit ribosomal RNA", at positions 334 to 642 of the family's 1533-position model. The record is from RNAcentral.